Long non-coding RNA from Syngnathoides biaculeatus (alligator pipefish), 496 nucleotides. RefSeq lists it as uncharacterized. The transcript is spliced from 3 exons. The record is from RefSeq and is a predicted model, not a curated record. Lineage: Eukaryota; Metazoa; Chordata; Actinopteri; Syngnathiformes; Syngnathidae.
UUGGGUUUGGUUCGCUUUGUCUUGUUGUCAGUCACGCUUGGUUUUUUUUUUUUUUUUCGAGAACUUUCAUUAAUCUUGUGGUUAUUCCACAUCUUUUCUGCUUCCCUGGAUUUGGGUCCACUACCUCUUAUGACCAAUGCAACAAAAAGCUCGAGGCCGUGGUGCUCGACAUCCGACUGGUCCCUGAAGCGGCAGGCCGCGUGUCGCCAUGACGCCGCCCCUGCCGGAAUGUGAAAGAGAGAGGACAGUUUUCGCCUGGGUGGCACACGUCACACGCCAGUGAGCUAGCGCAGGUUUUCGCCGUGCCCUUCACCCGAGUAUCAAAGGGACGCAAUCAGGUCGCAUGCCUGAGUCCUGGCGUCAUUCCGCAGCGCCGGAGAGCCUUCGGCUGUGAUGAGAAGCUGACCCGCCUCCAAAUUAUCGACCGAAAUAUGUCAUUUGCCAAUUGAAACACGCUUUACGUCCAGCCUUCAAAAAAGAUUUCAAACAGGGGGGG